CCUGCCUGUAUGGUGGGGAUAACAACCGGAAACAGUUGCUAAUACCGCAUAAUGUAUAAGAGUCGCAUGUCUUUUAUACCAAAGGAGCAAAUCCGCUGAAAGAUGGGCUCACGUCUGAUUAGUUAGUUGGUGAGGUAACGGCUCACCAAGACUGCGAUCAGUAGCCGGACUGAGAGGUUGAACGGCCACAUUGGGACUGAGAUACGGCCCAGACUCCUACGGGAGGCAGCAGUGGGGAAUAUUGGGCAAUGGGCGAAAGCCUGACCCAGCAACGCCGCGUGAAGGAAGAAGGUUUUCGGAUUGUAAACUUCUUUUAUGAGGGACGAAGAACGUGACGGUACCUCAUGAAUAAGCCACGGCUAACUACGUG
Molecule: ribosomal RNA, 370 nt
Filed under: uncultured bacterium
Lineage: Bacteria
Description: bacterial SSU rRNA
Rfam family: Bacterial small subunit ribosomal RNA
Source: RNAcentral